RNAcentral lists this unclassified non-coding RNA (251 nucleotides) under uncultured Symbiodinium. RNAcentral's name for it is "sequence contains ITS1, 5.8S rRNA gene and ITS2". Lineage: Eukaryota; Dinophyceae; Suessiales; Symbiodiniaceae. The record is from RNAcentral.
AUGCUAGGAGUGUUAGACACACAUGAGCUUUUGUUUCGCCACUGAACGACAUGAGAUGUUGAUCAGUCACAACAGCAAGCAAACUUGAUAUUUAGCAUGCCAGUGCCACUUGCAGAAGCAUGCAGCAACACUGCUCCUGAUAACAAGAGCAGCAGAAAAUGAAAGUAGAAGCACUGAAGCAGACAUGCUCUCAGGCAUAUCCCAAGAGCGCAAUGCACGUUCAAGAGGCCAUUGGUUCACGGGAGUUCUGC